CCUGUGGAGUGUUUACAUCAAACCAAAGUAGCUCCGGCAAAAUGGGACACUGUGAAGCAGGAA
This 63-nucleotide non-coding RNA is filed under the name unclassified sequences. RNAcentral's name for it is "RAGATH-18 RNA". It matches the Rfam family "RAGATH-18 RNA". Rfam says of the family: Actinobacteria, Firmicutes, Fusobacteria, Thermotogae (1 example). The record is from Rfam by way of RNAcentral.